This 87-nucleotide transfer RNA is filed under the name Rhodospirillaceae bacterium. Its description in RNAcentral is "tRNA-Leu". It matches the Rfam family "tRNA". From Rfam's summary of the family: Transfer RNA (tRNA) molecules are approximately 80 nucleotides in length. Their secondary structure includes four short double-helical elements and three loops (D, anti-codon, and T loops). Further hydrogen bonds mediate the characteristic L-shaped molecular structure. tRNAs have two regions of fundamental functional importance: the anti-codon, which is responsible for specific mRNA codon recognition, and the 3' end, to which the tRNAs corresponding amino acid is attached (by aminoacyl-tRNA synthetases). tRNAs cope with the degeneracy of the genetic code in two manners: having more than one tRNA (with a specific anti-codon) for a particular amino acid; and 'wobble' base-pairing, i.e. permitting non-standard base-pairing at the 3rd anti-codon position. The record is from RNAcentral. Lineage: Bacteria; Pseudomonadati; Pseudomonadota; Alphaproteobacteria; Rhodospirillales; Rhodospirillaceae.
GCGGGCGUGGCGGAACUGGUAGACGCGCUAGGUUUAGGUCCUAGUGACCGACAGGUNGUGGGGGUUCGAGUCCCUUCGCCCGCACCA